ACUAUAUUUCGAAAUGGAUUUUCAUUUCAACAUAUCUCGCAGUUGCUGUAGCUGGCCUUUUACACAAUAUGAUAAGAAGCAAAAGCUAAAUCCUUUGCCGGAACGAAGACGAUUAAGGACAUUUGACAUAAAGCUAGAAGAGAAUGAACAUAUGAAUCAUUUUACAAGGGGGAAGGAGUGGAGGGCGAGAUGGAGGAGGGCUCGCGAGCUGGAGAGGGUUUCAGCUGCCAUGUGAGCGAGAUCGCAACGAGAACUUAGCUCGCAGGGUUGAAGGAGAAAGGGGUGAAAGUGUAAUUAUUUCUAGGGCCGUUCAUAUUAUGGUCCAAACCGAGAAAACCGAGAAACCGGACCGAUUUUGGACCGAAACCGAGUAGAACCGAGAUCAUCGGUCCAGUCCACGGUUCCUUAAUUUCAUGUCAUUCGGUUCUCGGUUCGGUCCCUGUUAAACCGAGAAAACCUUCGGUUUGGACCGAACCGAGGUAUAUGUUGCCUAUAAUUCAAAUUUUCAAAUAUUCAAUAUAAGUUUAAGCAGGGAUUUUGAGACUUUUUAAUUGUGACAAGUAUUUUUCUUAUUAUUUGGUGUUUUUGAGACUUUAUUUGCUACUAAGAUUGACACUUUCUGUACUAUUGAGCUUAAUCUUAUUUUUUGAAGCA
Molecule: long non-coding RNA, 654 nt
Organism: Erigeron canadensis
Lineage: Eukaryota; Viridiplantae; Streptophyta; Magnoliopsida; Asterales; Asteraceae
Exons: 3
Source: RefSeq, a predicted model, not a curated record